RNAcentral lists this transfer RNA (69 nucleotides) under Pericosmus bidens. RNAcentral describes it as "partial tRNA-Gln". The record is from RNAcentral. Lineage: Eukaryota; Metazoa; Echinodermata; Echinoidea; Spatangoida; Pericosmidae.
CUAAAGAAACGGGAAUCGAACCCGCGACAAAGAAAUCAAAGUUCUCCGUUUCCUUCUAAACUAUCCUAA